RNAcentral lists this ribosomal RNA (253 nucleotides) under uncultured bacterium. RNAcentral describes it as "partial 16S ribosomal RNA". It matches the Rfam family "Bacterial small subunit ribosomal RNA", at positions 524 to 776 of the family's 1533-position model. The record is from RNAcentral.
UACGAAGGGGGCUAGCGUUGCUCGGAAUCACCGGGCGUAAAGGGUGCGUAGGCGGGUCUUUAAGUCAGGGGUGAAAUCCUGGAGCUCAACUCCAGAACUGCCUUUGAUACUGAAGAUCUUGAGUUCGGGAGAGGUGAGUGGAACUGCGAGUGUUGAGGUGAAAUUCGUAGAUAUUCGCAAGAACACCAGUGGCGAAGGCGGCUCACUGGCCCGAUACUGACGCUGAGGCACGAAAGCGUGGGGAGCAAACAGG